This is a long non-coding RNA of Myotis daubentonii (Daubenton's bat), 342 nucleotides long. RefSeq lists it as uncharacterized. NCBI's taxonomy places the organism in Eukaryota, Metazoa, Chordata, Mammalia, Chiroptera, Vespertilionidae. The transcript is spliced from 3 exons. The record is from RefSeq and is a predicted model, not a curated record.
GAACCGCACGUGGAACUGCUUGUUCUGACCUCUCCCCAAACCCUCGUUUUCAGGAUCCAGCCCAGUUUUCCUGCACGCAGCUUCCUGGCAGUGCUGCAGGUGAAGGCGAUGGUGGAGAUGCCGAAAUGAACAACUGGGAGCUUUGGAUGGACUGGCUGCAAUCGUGAGCAAAGAACAGCAGUGAAGACAUUUUACCCAAGGUCCAACCAUAGACAGUUUUCCUGCUGUCCUUAUUUCCACUGGCUGGGAAUGCUGUCACUGAAGGUCAGCAGGCCCAGUGUUCCAGAUGGGCAUCCUUGACUGAGCCCGUUACAGUCCGCCUGUCGCCACUGAUGGAGUGGG